GAUGAAGAACGUAGCGAAAUGCGAUACGUAAUGUGAAUUGCAGAAUUCAGUGAAUCAUCGAGUCUUUGAACGCACAUUGCGCCCUCUGGUAUUCCGGAGGGCAUGCCUGUCCGAGCGUCAUUGCUGCCCUCAAGCACGGCUUGUGUGUUGGGCUCCGUCCCCCGAUCCCGGGGGACGGGCCCGAAAGGCAGCGGCGGCACCGCGUCCGGUCCUCGAGCGUAUGGGGCUUUGUCACCCGCUCUGUAGGCCCGGCCGGCGCUUGCCGAUCAACCAAAUUUUUAUCCAGGUUGACCUCGGAUCAGGUAGGGAUACCCGCUGAACUUAAGCAUAUAAUAAGCGGAGGA
Molecule: unclassified non-coding RNA, 344 nt
Filed under: soil metagenome
Description: partial contains 5.8S ribosomal RNA, internal transcribed spacer 2, and large subunit ribosomal RNA
Rfam family: 5.8S ribosomal RNA (bases 1-120)
Source: RNAcentral